CAAGGCAGCAACACAGAUGUGGAGAUGGCAGGGUGUUCUGAAUUCAGCCCGAAAAAAAAAAGAGAGGCAGAGAGCUCCGUGCCAUCCAGCAGGACAAGAUAAAUCCCAUGAAAGCUUCCCAAAGGAGCCCCAGAGAACAAGCAGGGGGGAGAGCUUCUCGCCAAAUCCAGGGCGAUGCCACUGCCACAGGGUUCAGUCUUGGCAGUCUUGUCAUCACCUUGAGGUUGCCAGGAAAUUGGCAGAGACUUCAAGAACUUACUGUCAUUUGGAUAGAGGU
Molecule: long non-coding RNA, 277 nt
Organism: Oreochromis aureus
Lineage: Eukaryota; Metazoa; Chordata; Actinopteri; Cichliformes; Cichlidae
Exons: 3
Source: RefSeq, a predicted model, not a curated record